Podarcis lilfordi (Lilford's wall lizard) is the source of this 68-nucleotide non-coding RNA. NCBI's taxonomy places the organism in Eukaryota, Metazoa, Chordata, Lepidosauria, Squamata, Lacertidae. The record is from the annotation of a GenBank genome assembly.
GGACAUGGCUCUGUGGGAGAGCAUCUGCUUUGCAAGCAUGUUUCCCAGUUCAAUCUCUGGCAUCUCCA